Molecule: transfer RNA, 75 nt
Filed under: Microbacterium phage Zooman
Lineage: Duplodnaviria; Heunggongvirae; Uroviricota; Caudoviricetes
Also listed under: 1 other name
Description: tRNA-Gly
Rfam family: tRNA
About the family: Transfer RNA (tRNA) molecules are approximately 80 nucleotides in length. Their secondary structure includes four short double-helical elements and three loops (D, anti-codon, and T loops).
Source: RNAcentral
GUGGAGGUAGCUCAAUCUGGCAGAGCAUCUCGUUGCCAACGAGAAGGUCGCGGGUUCGAUCCCCGUUCUCCGCAC